GUAGGACACUCUAAGAAGACAAAGCUGGGCCUUUUUGGCCGAGAUCCAAUACCUGAGCACCUGAAGGAGGUUUCUGGACCGGCAAAAAUGGAGUAUUCCAGGUGGAUUGACAUGGUGUGAGUAUGCCAGCUUGUAGCAGUCACUGAAUAUGGAGAUUUAUCCCCUCUCUAGCCUGCUGACUCAUAGGAUACUGUUUUAUCUGGACUGGCAGGGCAGUGGCCAGAAGUUCUACAACUACUGGCAGAUGAUGCUUUGCUUAUCCCAGGGGGUUUGACUCAGCCCAGACUCGAGGAAACAGUCUGUAGGUCUAAUAGGAGGAGAGAAUUUGUUUUAUUCUCCAAUGGUUGUGAUGGUGAAACCAAAAGAUAUUCCUCUGACAGAGGGGUAGUUAGCAGGAGUUGGGCAGUAGGGGGCGUUGUGUCCCCUAACGUGAAGUGAGCCUGCUGGGCUGAGAGAUAGAAGCCUGUAACUUAUGGAGCAGGUCUCAUCUGAGAAGGGGAAGGGGGCACUCUGGGACUACAAGAAAUGAGUGAGUUACUCUUUUCUUUCCUAAACUCACUUAUCAUGAGUGGGUGACAGGAUAUUCCUGAAUAGCUCCUGUUGCCCCUUGUACAGCUACUCUUUUAUUAGAGACACUGCCUAAGGGUGUCUGCAGUACUGAGUGUUCCACCUCAGUAUCUAUUAGGAAGUAUACAUGCUGGCCCCCCACUGUAGCGGUCACCAUGGGCUCCUGGGGGCCAAGUGAAAGGGAGCCCCAGUCCCAUCAGUCAUCAGACUCCUCCGCUGUGGGGAGGGUGAGGACCUUUUUCUUUUCUGGUUUUUGCUCUGGCUUUAAUGGGCAUUCCUUCUUCCAGUGUCCUAUCUGCUUGCAAUAAGCACAUUGGUUUUUCUCCAGGGGAGCCCGCUCACCUUUCUUGCCCUUUUGGCUGGGACCCGGGGUUCCCUGGCUAUUCCUCUGUGAUGGGGGCCCUUACUUUUUGGCUUCCUGGAUGGCCACCACUAAGAUUUUUGCUUGUCUUUUGGAUGCUUUAUCAGCAGCUUUUUCAGCUGCCUCAGCUGCCUGUUUUCGUUUUUCAGACUCUCGAUUGUCAAAAACUUUCUGGGCUACUUCUAAAAGCUGGCUAUUGUUCAUUCCAGCAAAUCCCUCCGGCUUUUGUAAUUUUCUUUUACUAUCAGUAGCUGCCUGAGCCACAAACACCAAAUUAAUAGCACGGCUAUUCUUGGGAGCUGCCGGGUCAAAAGGGGUGUAAGUUUGAUAGGCCUCCUGGAGACUUUCUAAAAGUGUUCCAGGUUCAUCAGGCCCCUGGACAACUUCAGUUGUCUCAGACAGAUUUAUGGGUUUUUGAGCGGCUCCCUUGAGGCCCACAAGGAGAUACCGGUGAAAAUCAUCUAAAGCCCUCCUCCCACCCGAGGAGUUAGGAUCCCAAUUAGGCCGGGUAGAGGGAAAAACCUCCUUAACGAGGUUUUGGGCUUCCCCCUCUGGUCUAUCAGCUGAUGUAAGGAAAUACUUUCUGGCUUCUCUUCGGAUACAAUUCCUCUCUUCAGAGAUGAAGAGGGUUAAAAGGCGUUGCUGACAAUCAUCCCAGGUGGGCCGGUGAGUCUGGAGCAUGGACUCCAUCAGUGAGGUCAGAACCUGGGGUUUUUCAAAGAAGGGGGGAUUAUGAGCCUUCCAGUUGUACAGGUCAGAAGUAGAGAAAGGGACGUAAACUAAGAAUGGAGCUGAGCGCUCAUCACCCGGAGGGAUUUGUGCCUCUCUCAGUGGGAGGAGGGGGGCUACCUCCUCCUGCCAUGGCCACAAUCAGGAGGCAAUAGAUGGGGACGCCACAGGAGAUGUAGUUGAGGAGGCAAGGGGAGAUUCUGGGGGAGCAGGAGGGUUAUAAGGUGGCAGAACUGUGUGAGGAAAACUUUCCUCUUCUUCAGAGGGAGGCAAUACAGGAGGAGCCAAGGGAGCUGAGGAUCCGGACAAAAGUGUGUGGUCUCGCUUAAAAUGACCUUGGAGGUAAGAUUAUGAAUGGCACAUGAGCGGAGCCAAGGGGGAGGGCUCCGGACCAAUCUCAGCCAUUGAUCAAUGUAGGGAAACGGAUCGGGGUGACCGGGAGUUCCAGCAACGACCCGCCACACAGCCUGAAGAGCUGUGAGAUUCAGUGACCCUUCUGGGGGCCACACGGUUCCAAACUGUGGUCAUUCUACUUCACAGAGUAUCUGGAGUUUGCCUUUUUUAAGGUGGACCCCAUAAUUCUCUGAGAAGCCUAGGGAGAAAUUUUGUAACAUACAUUGGAGAGGGCUCCAAUCUUUAUGAGGCUGGGAAGAAGAGUUUCCCAUUCUGGAGGCAAUUUAAAAAGGUUUCAGCAGAAAUAUUAAACCCAGCACAGACAGAGAAAUUCAAGACCUGGGGGGCUGCAGUAUCAGAAGAACAGAAGUAUUAUAACCAGAAGAAGAAGGAAAACAACCAUAGUCAACACUUCUUGCCACAUAAGGACGGUCUGUUUAAGCUUUGAGAUCUAGGGGGAGGACAAGAGGCAGGUCUGAGGCCAGUGGGACCUACGUGAUCCCCUCCUUUUUGUCCUAUAGCCUAAAUAUCUUUGGUGUCUCCAUGACUUGAAGGCAAAAAGUUCAAACUUGGCCUUUUCUUUUAAGGGUUGAAAAAGGGAGGACAGAACCAAGUCUUGGAGACACUGGAUUUGCUGCAACACAGGAAAAUGAGAUGUGCAGGGUAAAGGAUGGGAAUGAGGAGGAAAAGGGGCCACUUGGAUUUUUCCAGGCUAGGAGGAGCCAUGCCGGGCAGCUCUGGGUCACCAGGGCCACUCUGCGGUCCCCCGCCCUGCCUCCAGGCCCUGUCAGACGCUGCAAGCCCAGCUCAGAAGCCUGGCCUGGGACCAAGUUCACUGCAGCAGGCUGGGCCCUUGCAUUCUGAGCUGGGUGCGGAUGCGCUGGUGCUCUGGGAAGUCAGGGGCUUUGACAACUGAA
This 2967-nucleotide long non-coding RNA is filed under the name Homo sapiens (human). RNAcentral's name for it is "HSALNT0258680". The record is from RNAcentral. Lineage: Eukaryota; Metazoa; Chordata; Mammalia; Primates; Hominidae.